UUUAUGGAGAGUUUGAUCCUGGCUCAGGAUGAACGCUGGCGGCGUGCCUAAUACAUGCAAGUCGAGCGAACGGACGAGAAGCUUGCUUCUCUGAUGUUAGCGGCGGACGGGUGAGUAACACGUGGAUAACCUACCUAUAAGACUGGGAUAACUUCGGGAAACCGGAGCUAAUACCGGAUAAUAUUUUGAACCGCAUGGUUCAAAAGUGAAAGACGGUCUUGCUGUCACUUAUAGAUGGAUCCGCGCUGCAUUAGCUAGUUGGUAAGGUAACGGCUUACCAAGGCAACGAUGCAUAGCCGACCUGAGAGGGUGAUCGGCCACACUGGAACUGAGACACGGUCCAGACUCCUACGGGAGGCAGCAGUAGGGAAUCUUCCGCAAUGGGCGAAAGCCUGACGGAGCAACGCCGCGUGAGUGAUGAAGGUCUUCGGAUCGUAAAACUCUGUUAUUAGGGAAGAACAUAUGUGUAAGUAACUGUGCACAUCUUGACGGUACCUAAUCAGAAAGCCACGGCUAACUACGUGCCAGCAGCCGCGGUAAUACGUAGGUGGCAAGCGUUAUCCGGAAUUAUUGGGCGUAAAGCGCGCGUAGGCGGUUUUUUAAGUCUGAUGUGAAAGCCCACGGCUCAACCGUGGAGGGUCAUUGGAAACUGGAAAACUUGAGUGCAGAAGAGGAAAGUGGAAUUCCAUGUGUAGCGGUGAAAUGCGCAGAGAUAUGGAGGAACACCAGUGGCGAAGGCGACUUUCUGGUCUGUAACUGACGCUGAUGUGCGAAAGCGUGGGGAUCAAACAGGAUUAGAUACCCUGGUAGUCCACGCCGUAAACGAUGAGUGCUAAGUGUUAGGGGGUUUCCGCCCCUUAGUGCUGCAGCUAACGCAUUAAGCACUCCGCCUGGGGAGUACGACCGCAAGGUUGAAACUCAAAGGAAUUGACGGGGACCCGCACAAGCGGUGGAGCAUGUGGUUUAAUUCGAAGCAACGCGAAGAACCUUACCAAAUCUUGACAUCCUUUGACAACUCUAGAGAUAGAGCCUUCCCCUUCGGGGGACAAAGUGACAGGUGGUGCAUGGUUGUCGUCAGCUCGUGUCGUGAGAUGUUGGGUUAAGUCCCGCAACGAGCGCAACCCUUAAGCUUAGUUGCCAUCAUUAAGUUGGGCACU
RNAcentral lists this ribosomal RNA (1157 nucleotides) under Staphylococcus aureus. Its description in RNAcentral is "bacterial SSU rRNA". It matches the Rfam family "Bacterial small subunit ribosomal RNA", at positions 1 to 1139 of the family's 1533-position model. The record is from RNAcentral. Lineage: Bacteria; Bacillati; Bacillota; Bacilli; Caryophanales; Staphylococcaceae.